Molecule: long non-coding RNA, 694 nt
Filed under: Macaca mulatta (Rhesus monkey)
Lineage: Eukaryota; Metazoa; Chordata; Mammalia; Primates; Cercopithecidae
Description: lncRNA (ENSMMUG00000054180.1)
Source: RNAcentral
UAUUCUUCCAAAAUCACCAGCAAACAUACCUUCCCUCUUUCCUCAGGAACCUCCAAAUGGCCCAAAAGCAAGAAAAUAGAAGCGCCCUCCUCAUCACAAAAAAAAAGAACUGAGAGAAAAUGUUUCAAGAUGUUCCACUGGAAAACCUCUCCAGGUUCACUCCACAGUCUAUCAAUUUUUAGCAGCAAUUCUCCAACCAUCAGUUAUGGGUGCUUUAGCCCCUAGUUCUAUUCCUUCAAGGCCCCGCAAUGCUGCAGAAAGGGAAGAGGAGGAAUGGGUGAACACGUAGGGGUCUUAUGCUGGCGCCUGAGGUGGCAGACGUCACUUCCACACCUGAACCCGGUGUCUUGAACGUGGGCCUCACUGAAACUGAAGGGUAAGCUAAGAGUCUGGGGGAGCCACUAGCCUCUCCUGAAGCUACUUAAGAGUCACGUUUAUCAGCAGAUCCAAGGGACUUCCCUCAUCCACGACAUCUCAGUUUCACUAGAAAGAGCACCUUAGUGCUUAUCCUCUAUAUUCAUGCUUACACUUACAGUAAGUUCCUAAAGACAGCAUUUCAUAUCAAAUUAAAUAGUACUUUCUUCUCUGUGCCCAUAUAUAGUGGGAAAUAGGUAUAUUACCUAUUUUGGGGAUUUUAAUUACAGUAUAAAAAUAACAGCUAAUGUAACAUAUGUGGGGAUAAAUUAAUGAGCUU